RNAcentral lists this ribosomal RNA (253 nucleotides) under uncultured bacterium. Its description in RNAcentral is "partial 16S ribosomal RNA". It matches the Rfam family "Bacterial small subunit ribosomal RNA", at positions 524 to 776 of the family's 1533-position model. The record is from RNAcentral.
UACGAAGGGAGCAAGCGUUGUUCGGAUUUACUGGGCGUAAAGGGCGCGUAGGCGGUUUGAUAAGUUGGAAGUGAAAUCCCCGGGCUUAACUCGGGAAUUGCUUUCAAGACUGUCAGACUCGAGUGUGGAAGAGGUUGGUGGAAUUCCCAGUGUAGAGGUGAAAUUCGUAGAUAUUGGGAAGAACAUCCGUGGCGAAGGCGGCCAACUGGUCCAUAACUGACGCUGAGGCGCGAAAGCGUGGGGAGCAAACAGG